This 496-nucleotide ribosomal RNA is filed under the name uncultured bacterium. Its description in RNAcentral is "partial 16S ribosomal RNA". It matches the Rfam family "Bacterial small subunit ribosomal RNA", at positions 28 to 506 of the family's 1533-position model. The record is from RNAcentral.
GAUGAACGCUGGCGGCGUGCCUAAUACAUGCAAGUCGAGCGAACGGACGAGAAGCUUGCUUCUCUGAUGUUAGCGGCGGACGGGUGAGUAACACGUGGAUAACCUACCUAUAAGACUGGGAUAACUUCGGGAAACCGGAGCUAAUACCGGAUAAUAUUUUGAACCGCAUGGUUCAAAAGUGAAAGACGGUCUUGCUGUCACUUAUAGAUGGAUCCGCGCUGCAUUAGCUAGUUGGUAAGGUAACGGCUUACCAAGGCAACGAUGCAUAGCCGACCUGAGAGGGUGAUCGGCCACACUGGAACUGAGACACGGUCCAGACUCCUACGGGAGGCAGCAGUAGGGAAUCUUCCGCAGUGGGCGAAAGCCCGACGGAGCAACGCCGCGUGAGUGAUGAAGGUCUUCGGAUCGUAAAACUCUGUUAUUAGGGAAGAACAUAUGUGUAAGUAACUGUGCACAUCUUGACGGUACCUAAUCAGAAAGCCACGGCUAACUACGU